This 3792-nucleotide long non-coding RNA is filed under the name Malus domestica (apple). Its description in RNAcentral is "long non-coding RNA (MDOM_LNC008794)". Lineage: Eukaryota; Viridiplantae; Streptophyta; Magnoliopsida; Rosales; Rosaceae. The record is from RNAcentral.
CUAUGACGUCACGCUGACGUCAGCAUGACCUCAAGCAGGCCGUCCCAUGGAUCUGUCGAUUUUGGGCUAGCUUGAAGACCAGCUUGGGCUGGGGUGCCAUCCUAUCCACAUGGGCUGGAGGGGAUUGGUUGGAUGCUAGGACAAAAAUGGUGUUGGGUGUCGGCCUACAAGUCCCCGGUGGACUUGCUCUUAUAGAAGUUCACCUUCCUCAAACCCUAGCUUCCUAAUGCUAGUGUCUCCUUUUUUUUUUUCUUUUUUUUUUGGCAAAUGCUAGUGUCUCCUUUUAGUUUCUCUCUUUUUGGCCUCAAUACCGCUCACUUUCUCAAACCACCCGGGUUUAAUUACCUUUUUCUCCUUCAUCAGCUUAAAGCCUUUCUUGUCAGUCAUGAUCUUUGGACAUUCGUUGAUGAUCCUUCUCUCUUCCUUUUACUGCUAUUGCACGUAUCAUCACGUUCAAAUCCGUAACCCUAUCAUGCUCUAUGAAUUUAGAAAGGUUAGUUAAUUGUCAGUUAUCCCACCAGUACCUUCUCAGAACUCAUUCUCUCUUUAACUAUCGGUUGCGACACUUUGCUCAACGUUCGGUUGCCCGUGACUCCACUUCCACAAGGGUCAUUUGGUAUUAAAUCAAAUGAAUUCGUGACAUAGAGUUAAGUAUCCAAUUAAUCUAAUAUGCAUGCUCAGCUUUUGGAAGCAUGCAAUAGUGGCAAUCUAGCAGAUUUAUCAUAAAAGGUGAUGGUCGUUCAAUCAUAGGCUAAACACAAAAGAUAAAAUUAAAACGUAGUUUCGCUCUAAUUAAAUCAUUAUUUUAUUUCUUUUAUACGUGGACGGCACGCUAAUAAAUUGAUAAUUAGUAGAUCUUAUUAGUCACAAAUUUGACCCAUUGGGUUAAUUAAUAAAUUAAUUAUAAUGAUUGCAACUUUUAGUCUCUCCAACAGUGAGGAAGAUAUUAAUAAGCUCUUGACAAUGAAGUGUGAAGCAAAUCCUAUUUUUCUAAUCGCAGACUAAGUUAAAUAAUUCUGUAGAUUAAUGGUGGAGAAGGCAUGUUUACUCACACUCAUGGAGAAAGAAACUUUGGAGAGGGCUUAGUUAUCGAAAAGACUUUGCACUUAAAAAGUGGGAGCUGUAAAGAAAAAGCUUUCUCAUGGCUGAAGGGUCCCUUGUGUUUUUUGAAAAGAAGAAGACAUAGUGCGUGUGUGAUGGAGGAUGUCAAAAUCAAUGGAACCACUAGUCAAUUUCAAUGCCCCGACACCAUAAAAUUGUCUGCUAUAUAUGCUUAAUAUCUCAUAGAACUUGACCAUACAAGGAUUCAAUUUGUGGUUGUGAAAAUUAGGUUAUAGAGAAAGAGAGUGUGAUGUUACAACUGUCACUAAUGUAAAGAUUUGGAGUCGGGCUAGUGAGUACCAUUCACACCGAUAUUAUUUCAACCUAGCCACCUGCAUAAUGAAAUAAGUGUUAUUUUUUACAAAAAAAUUUGGUGCAUUAAGACCAUCUCCAACCCUUAGGCUAAAAGCCAAAUUUUUUAGCCCGGAAAAUUUGGCUUUUAGCCCAGAAACAUAUUUUCUGCUCCAACCCUUCUGCCCUAAAAUUUUAGCCCGGAAUUAUUAAAGAAUGAACUUAGGCUAUUUUUUUUCUUAAAUCAAUUUUUUUAAAUAAAUAUGUAGAUUAUUGUAAAUUAAUUUUAUGAACAUUUUAAUAUAAAAAAAUUUAAAUUCUGAUAAACAUUUGGCAUUUAGCCCCGGGGGAAAGCUUGGGGGGUAUUUGGCCCAGAAAUAACAUUUGGCAUUUAGCCUAAAAUUUUAACAUGGGUUGGAGAGUGUUUGGGGGGGGUAAUUUGGCUUUUAGCUCAGGUUUGGAGAUGGUCUAAGAGUAGAACCAUUCAAUAUAUGUUAAUAUUAUAAUUCAUUCUGUCAAAUUUUCAAUGUGAAAUAACAUUCUUUAACCACGAAUGCUAGUCAAUUCAUUGUGUCGUUUGCAUAGCUUCCAUGCAAACCAAUCUCAUAUCAGUUGGGUUCUUCUGAGUGGUACGUUUAUGAUAAUUAAGCGAAACGAACUAAAUUCAUGUGCUUAAGAAUUAUUGUAUAUAUAGAUCUGGUUGGAGAAUAAUCUGUUGCAAAUAGAAUAGAGAUAGAAUGUAGAGAGGAAAUUAAGAUUAAAAAAUUAUUGAAAAAAAAAAAGAAAAAAAAAAGUAAUGCUAAGGAGACUAAAUUUGUACAAAAAAUUUUGCAAACUAAAUAAUGUGUCACCAAUAGAAAAUUAGCACGUUUAUCAACGCUUAAGUAAUCAUCCAAUCAUCAACUUUCACAUCAUUUAGUUUAUAAAUUUUGUCUACAAAUUUAGUUUCCCUAGCAUUACUCUAAAAAAAGAACCAUAACAUUCUAGUUGUUAUCGAUAGUGUCGAUAUAUAACUCAAUAUAGUCGGUCUUCAUACGAAGGGAAAUUGAAAACGCAACAACUAAUUUUUUUUUUCCAAGAUAAGAAUUUCAUUAAAUUCGAAUCAAAAUGUUUACUUCAGAAGUCAAAGUGUUAAACAACUAUGUAGAGCCAAAAAUAUUCACAAGGCGACAUGUGGAUUUUUGACAAAAGAAGACAAAACUACCCUUGGGGCAUAUCGGGAUUCCUACGAGCAAGCAGCGGGCAAUUAUCCCUCAACCAAGUCAAAAGUGCCCAUAAUAGGUAUCAACUUAAAACCUAAUUUAUUCAUAUAUUUCCUAUUUCAUUAUUUAGCUAAUCAAUUAGCUAAAUACUACACUUAUUCCAUAAUUCCUAAAACAUUCCUUCUAAAAUAAUGAUAAAUAGCUAAUUAAUGGGUUAAUUAGCUAAUUAUUCCCUUAAUUAGCAUUUAGACCUUUCACUUUACCCUAACUCCCACAAAAGGGCCGGCUAUCCCCAUUUCAAAACCUCAUCCAUCACCUUUUCUACCUUUUUCACCAUUUCUUCCUUUUUAUUAGCCAAUAAAUUUCAUAACCACAAAAGCAUUUCCUUUUAUGUUUAAUUAGCCAAUUAAUUGGCUAAUUAAACCAAAACAAAACCUAAAACCCGACUAAGUGGCCGGCCAUCCUUUCCUCUCCUAUAAAUUGGUUUCCAUUUUCACCAAACACUAAUUCCAACACUAUGGCAAAAAUCCGAAAAUUCUCUAAACACUCUUUCUCUCUAAAUUCUAACUUUGGCAUCGAAGGUUCUUCGGCCAAAGCCCCCCCAUUCAUCGUGGGCGCGUGAGGCUCUUGGCCUUAACCUAAGGUGUUAAUUGUUUUGUAGGUGCAAAAUUAUCCAAGAUCAAGGAGGAAGAAAUUUGCAUCCACAAAUUGGUGCUUUCAUUGAGAGCUGAAAUCCAUACUCGCAAAAGACUCUCGCACAAAAAGGUUUUUUCUUUAUUUUCUAGUCCAUUUGAAUAUUUUUCAUAUGUUCUUAUUAUUAAAAAUUUUUACUUGCAAAGGUUCUUUGAUAAAACGUAUAAGCAAAAUAUAAUGGCUAGAAAUUUAGAAAAUUCCACAAGUGAAAAUUCUAAUGUUCAAGAAAUGGGAUUGUGGAGAUCCGUGAGGCUAAAUGUGACAAUAAGUGGAGCAGCACCACCACCACGAAUUUCCACCACGGGAACCACCACAGUGGCUACCUCGGUAGCCACCCGUGGCGAGGUCCAUGGUGCCUUCACCACGGCCUGAGCCGUGCCAUCCAAGGCUCACGGUACCAAGGCCACGGCCCAAGCCGUGCCAUCCAAGCUUGCACACGUUCGAGCCCAAGCUUCGCAUUCAUAUGGAUCACGCGCUAAGCAACCUGCUCCCGACGAGCAGCCCA